GACGAACGCUGGCGGCGUGCUUAACACAUGCAAGUCGUACGGUAAGGCCCUUUCGGGGGUACACGAGUGGCGAACGGGUGCGUAACACGUGAGUAACCUGCCCACAACUUUGGGAUAACGCUAGGAAACUGGUGCUAAUACUGGAUAUGUGCUCCUGCUGCAUGGUGGGGGUUGGAAAGCUCCUGCGGUUGUGGAUGGACUCGCGGCCUAUCAGCUUGUUGGUGGGGUAGUGGCCUACCAAGGCGGCGACGGGUAGCCGGCCUGAGAGGGUGACCGGCCACAUUGGGACUGAGAUACGGCCCAGACUCCUACGGGAGGCAGAAGUGGGGAAUAUUGAACAAUGGGCGCAAGCCUGAUGCAGAAACGCCGCGUGCGGGAUGACGGCCUUCGGGUUGUAAAACGCUUUCAGCAGGGACGAAGCUUUUUGUGACGGUACCUGCAGAAGAAGCACCGGCUAACUACGUG
Molecule: ribosomal RNA, 465 nt
Filed under: uncultured bacterium
Lineage: Bacteria
Description: partial 16S ribosomal RNA
Rfam family: Bacterial small subunit ribosomal RNA
Source: RNAcentral